This 1947-nucleotide long non-coding RNA is filed under the name Salmo salar (Atlantic salmon). RNAcentral describes it as "lncRNA (ENSSSAG00000082631.1)". The record is from RNAcentral. Lineage: Eukaryota; Metazoa; Chordata; Actinopteri; Salmoniformes; Salmonidae.
CUAUAACAUGAGCUGCUCAGUAUGUGUAGAUAAUCCUUGCUACCGCAGCUUUUUUGACAGAUACAACAUUAGCCAUAGAGAUCUGCAGAAGUGUUGCUACUGCUCUCGACAACAGUGCUGCCCAGAAUUUAGCAGGCACAAUUGACAAAGAUCAGUGGGAAAAAGUUGUAAUGGACUACUUUUCUGCACAAGAGCUGCGUGUCCAAGUUCGUGGGCUAGAAGAACCAUCCUCACAUUUAUGUAAAAUGCCAUAUCUCCCCUGGACCACACCUGCAGCCUGGAACCUGGGACCAUGCCUCAGGCCUGAUGACUCCUUGCUGUCCCCAAUCCACCUGGUCGUGCUGCUGUUCCAGUUUCAACUAUUCUGCCUGCGGCUAUGGAACCCUGACCUGUUCACCAGGCGUGCUACCUUGUCCUGGACCUGCUGUUUUCGACUCGCUCUCUCUACCGCACCUGCUGUCUAACUCUGAAUGCUCGGCUAUGAAAAGCCAACUGACGUUUACUCCUGAGGAGCUGACCUGUUGCACCCUCUACAACCAUUGUGAUUAUUAUUAUUUGACCCUGCUGGUCAUCUAUGAAAGUUUGAACAUCUUGGCCAUGUACUAUUAUAAUCUCCACCCCUCAGACCCUAGUUCAUCUCUUGGUUUCUUCCUAGGUUCCUGCCUAAGGAGUUUUUCAGAGGCACUGUGCUUUUACAUCUGCAUUGCUUGCUGUUUGGGGUUUAGGCUGGGUUUCUGUAUAGCACUUUGUGACAUCGGCUGAUGUAAAAAGGGCUUUAAGAAUACAUUUGAUUGAUUGAUUGAUGGCUGGCUGGCUGCUGUCUGGAUGAUUGCGGCUAGCUGUCAUCUUCAUCUCAACUAAUUUGCGUCUCCACGGAUUGCUGCCGGGUACCUCCUUUUCCUCCUCUACGUAGUCUGUACUGCCACUGCCUCAAUCGGCUGAUCAGGCAAAUUCUUUCUUUCAUUCACUGCAUUUAUCACAUUGGCUAAUAUUUUUAUUCACAUACAGUAGGUAUAUUGUUCAAGAUUUGCUCAUUUUUCUCUCUCUUUAUGGGGAUUCUUCGCGGGAGAUAUUUUCAAACAAGGAAGUGCUGUGUGGCACGUGAGGCAUUUUAACCAAUCAGGUUGCCGAAAAGAGCCUUUAAAUGCCAGUAACCAAUCAGAUGUCAGGAAAUGACUCAUCUUUCAGGACAAAGCACUACGUCUACAAAGGGUAUAGCCACGUAUGGACUAGUUAACGAUUUGCUCUGGAAAACAAGCUAUUGAAGGAUAUAUGAUUCAACAUGAGGAGUUUUAGAAAUAGCAUUUGAAGUUUUACAUGAAACAUGCUAUCAAGAACAACAUUUAUGCUAGGUGUAGUUGACGGAGUUGGGAUAAAAUUAUACAAUUCAUGUAUUUAUAUAUAUUAUUGCUAAUUUAUGUCUACAUUUUAUGAAAGUAUGGAAGUCAUAGUUGCAAAAUAUCCCAAAAUCUGAAAAUGUACAGAUGGAAACAAAAUCAAUAUUUUUGCCUGUGGUGCCCGGCCUUAAGAGGGUGUGAAUGAUGCUGAAUAGGUGUAGACAAAGUUCUGUCCAAACAUUAAAGGGCCAUUUCCUCAAAAAUAGGGUUACAAGUUUAUCAACUUUUUAAGCAGAAUUUAUUUCCCCAUUGUUCCUCAACUGCAGUGUAUGAUUUAUAAUUGUCGCUCUGAGUCUCUACUUUUAUCCAAUGUAAAAAAACUGCAUUUCAAAUGUGUCUAUAUAAGACUGAAUCGAGGCGGAUGGUCAAGUGAGCCACUUAUCAACACAUUCCUAACAACUUAACCAUUAAGAAACUUAUAUUCAAUCAAAUAUGUCUCAUGUAGCAAAUACAUUUAUUUUUGACUAUAUUCAACACUCAUUGACCUCAAUAAAAAGAAUCCUCCCAUUGUGGGCUUAUUUUCUUUGACCGAUUUUGGCCGGAGUAAAAC